RNAcentral lists this ribosomal RNA (861 nucleotides) under Triticum aestivum (bread wheat). RNAcentral's name for it is "partial small subunit ribosomal RNA". The record is from RNAcentral. Lineage: Eukaryota; Viridiplantae; Streptophyta; Magnoliopsida; Poales; Poaceae.
AUGUCGCCACCCAAGGUGGUCGCCGGGCCAGCCUGUGUGGUUGGCGAUGAAGGUCGUGGUGACAAUUUUGCCGAUUCGUUCCCUAGCGGAGGACCUUGGACGCCAAGGCGGCGGCCUCGGACGGUGAGGAAGCAUUUGUCAGAUGUGCUAGCCGGCUUCCUUGGCUACACGGGUGGAGAGGAUUCGGCUGAUUGUGGUCGCAACCCGGAUUCCCCACCUUCUGCUCCAGAUCUGAAGGUCAAGCUCAUCUCCUCCUCAAUUAAUUCCCCCACUGGCCCUGUCUGCUUUGUAGCCUUGAUCGCUGGAUCUGGUUCUAGCGGGGCUGGUGGUGUAGGAUCGAUUCCGGGGAAACCCUUGUUUGGUUCUCCGGUCAUGACUAAGAAAAGUUUGAAGGACUCCAUCGGCAUGUACACGGUCCAAUGCUACAAAUGUAAGAAAUGGCGCAAGAUCCCAACGAAAGAGGAGUUCGAGACGAUCCGCGAGAGCUUAGCCGAGGACCCCUGGUUCUGUGACAGGGACCCCAGCGCCGGCCGUUCCUGCAAGCAGCCGGAAGACAUUCCGUGCGACAGCAGCUGCAUCUGGGUCAUGGACAAGCCAGGCAUCCCGCGCCCGCCACCUGCGACGGAGCGGCUGGUGAUCAUGCGGCGUGACCUGUCCAAGAUGGACACCUACUACUUGCUACCCAACGGGAAGCGCGCGCGGUCCGGCAGCGACGUGGAGAAGUUCCUCCAGGAUAACCCGGAGUAUAGGGCGAACCUGCCGGCAUCAAAGUUCUCCUUCGCCGCGCCCAAGAUCGUUCCGGCGACCGUGAGAGAGAGCUCACUAUGGAGGGUUGCCAAGGCCGAGAGGGAAAAAGUUUGA